Molecule: long non-coding RNA, 3710 nt
Filed under: Homo sapiens (human)
Lineage: Eukaryota; Metazoa; Chordata; Mammalia; Primates; Hominidae
Description: HSALNT0037507
Source: RNAcentral
GGGCUCUGCCGGUGGCAACCUGGACGCGCUGCGGGCGCCGGCGAGACCUGCGCCAACGCCUACCUCCGGGCCACAGGCGGGAUAAAGCUGCCCCACUUUGCCCCCAGCGAAGAGAACCCUCCUUCCUCUAAGUAUUUUCUUCAGCAACUAAGCUUUUCUGUUUGCUCAAUUUCUUGUCCCGUGAGCGCUACCACCCACCCCCCGCCACCUUCUUCCCCUCCCCCCACAUCCGUUCACUCUCUUUGACCUUUUGCCAAAACUCUGAACGCUCGCUGCCCUCCCUCCCAUUUCCUCACCGCGUUUCAGGAGCUGUAAGUUCUUGGUGUUCAAACCCCCUACGGUUACGUAAACAGAACUCUGCAGUUAUCUUCUUUCCCUUUCUUCGGAGCUUUGUUUUCAAGUUCAUUAGAGACUUCCUGUGGGUGUAAUUACCGCUCUGCAGUUUUGAGCGCUGCCCACCUUCCCCCUGUUUUGUUAAAAAUGUCAUAGAUCUUUGGAGAUUUCUUUCACUUCUAAAGUUAUUACCUGUCUGCCUGCACAUCAAUCUUGUUGAUUUUAUUUCAGGGCAUUUUCCGGAGUGAACUUCUGCAUAGCGAUUUUUUUUGUCCCUCCCCACCCCCUCUUUGUUUUGCAGGAAGGUGAAAUAAGACAGAAGAAAAGGGUUAGAACUUUAGAACUCCAGGACCCAACCUCAGUCCUUUCAAGCACCGUCUGCAAACAGAUGCUGUGCUAGACUCAGCACCCUGUCUGGUGAAACUGCUCCUUGGGGUGACAUCGGUCGAAUGUGUGAGAGGCUUCAGCGGAUGCCCUGACUUUUACACCAUGGAAGGGCUUUCUCCUCACUCUCCAUUCUUCAUCCCACUCCAUCCAUGCGCUUUCUCCCCUCCCCAUGGGGUGGGGUGGGGGAGUCUUUCCUCCAGCUGAGAGCAGAGGCCUUGGCCAACUAGAUGUGUCUUCUGGGAUUUCACAGUCGGGCCACCUCUCACCUCUUGCACAGGCUGGUGGGUUAAAUGAAACUCCUGUAGCAACUCACAGAGCAUUUGAUUUAAAGCUAAGAUUUAUAGGAACUCACAAGUCAGAAUGGAACAAUAAUUUCCCUCCGGUUGCACUGCCACUACUGAGGAGCAAUCGCCUAAUUCCACACAGAGUUUGCUGAUUCUGUGGGCCUAACAGAGAACUCCAGAUGGGCAACUAGGAGCUAAGAAGUGCAUCCUAUGUCACCAGGAGCUAAUUUUCCCUGGAUUUUCAAAGAGGCCUCAUAUUUGACCCAUGUCAUGGCAGGGUGAAAUAUAAGUCCUUCCUGAACCCUUGGAAGCUGAACGUUGUGGACAUCAGCCAUGGGAAAUACAUUUCCUUUAAACUGAUCACCAGGCCUUAGUAUGAUCCAUGCCUUGAGUGGACAGAGACCUUUCAUGUUUGGUCAUUACUCAGCCAGACACUUCUCUGAGAGGUGAUGACUUCCCUAGGAAGGAAUAACAAAGCCCCUUUCAGGCUGUUGAUGGGCCCUGUCCACUUUAAUUUUGCAUUCAGCCUCGCUCAUUUCUGUGAGCUGAGAUUUUGAUUAUUCUGAUUUCCACGACUCCUUUUGUGAAACAGAGACACUGAGGUGAAUGCACGGGCCCAGUCCCCUCCUUUUUGAGUGUGCCCUCGGAAGCAGAGGCAGGUGGUGUUGCCGAAACACCCAGGUUCUGUCUAGGUCCUGCCGCUCCCUGCACAGAAAGCCAAUCACAGAGAUGACAAGUAUUGCCAAGGAAGAAGGCUUUAAUCAGGUGCUGUAGCUGAGAAGAUGGGAGCCCAGUCUCAAAUCCAUCUCCCCAUCCACCUAAAACUAGGGGUUUAUACACCAGGGAAGAAAGAUAACAGUGUGUAAGAAAACAGGAACUACGGAGGGGCAAGGAAGCAGUCACAAUGUAGGGUAUCUCAUUGUCUGGAUGUGUUGAUCUGUGAAAUAUGACAAACAGAGGAAAGUGCAUUAAAACCUGAGUGUUGACUGCUGGUUCCCCCAAGAUGGAGAGUCCCAUUCCUCCCAGACACUCCCUCUUACAGGUAAAAUAUCUGGACAUAACACAACAGACAGCAGAAGAAGACUCUGAAAGCUGGAGGAAGGAAGAAAAAAAGCCUAGGGACCUCAGACCUUGAAGAAUGACAGGUGUGAGUCCUUGGAUUUCCUUAUCACCCCCCACCCCACCCCGCCCUUACCCUGGAUGAGGCACUGCAGAAGCCUCCAACCAGAAACCACCAGCAGGCACAGACAAGCUCUAAGAAAGGCCUGGUCCCCCCUGGUCAAAGCACAGAGGAAAGGCUGGCCUGACAACAAAAGGAAACCUUUUUGGCAAUACCCACCCUAUCCCAGCAAAAGUCUAGUGGGCCUAACAGAACCUUCUAGCCCCACCUGUAGCCUCUGCUCUGCAGAAGCUGAUUGAGUGCUUGAACUCUCUGGCCUAGUAGGGUGAGCACUCGAGCUGGGAGCUAAUCCUCUGUUCCCUUGGCAGGGCAAACCCAAAUGGGUAAACACAAAAAAAAUAAUUAAACUUCUUAACAUCAUAAACACCCAAAACUACAAACAAAGGAGAAAAUAUUGAAAGAACCAGAGAGAAAUGAAGCAUUAUUCAUGAGGAAUAUUUGUUUGAAUGACAGUGGAUUUCUCAUCUUGAAACCAUGGAGGCCAAAAGGAAGAGGCACAACAUUUUUCAAGUUGAAGAUAGAACUUAGAAUCACAAAUCCAAUAGCCACUGAAAACGCCCUUCAGGAAUGAAGGAGAAAUCAGACAUUCUCAGAUGAAAGAAAACUUAAGAGAACUUAUUGCCAACCUAGAAGAAAUGUGCUAAUGUCAAGAAAGCUACAAACUACCAAACUCAACGAGGAUGAUAGAGACAACCUGAAUAGUUCCAUAGCUGCUACAGAAAUUAAAGUUAUAAGCAAACGGCUCACAAAAAAGAAAUCUUCAGAUGAAAAUACUUUAAGGAGUAUUAAUACCAAUUUUACACACUCUAUCUCAGAAAGUAAAAGAAAGAACGUUUCCUGGCUCAUUGUAUAAGGCUAGUAUUACCCUGAUACCAAAAUCAGGAAAAUGCAGUACAGAAAAGAAAGUUAUAGACCACUAUCUCUAUAAAUUUAGACACAAAAUUUAUCAACAAAAUUUUGUAAACCUAAUACAGCAUCGUAUAUAAAAAAUUAUAUACACCAUGAUGAAGUGGGAUUUAUUCCAUAUAUGCAAGUUUGGUUCAAUAUUCCAGAAUCAGUCAAUGUAAUUUACUCUGUUAACCAGGUAAAGAAUAAAAAUGAUUAUAUCAUUUGAUGCAGAAAAAAAGAUUAACACAAUCCUAUGCCCAUUCACGGUAAAAAGUCUCAGCAGACUAGGAAUGGCGGGGAGUGGUGGGGACAAUCCUAAGUUGAGAAAGAGCAUCUAUUUAAAAACCUAGGCUGGGCACAGUAGCUCAUGCCUGUAGUCCCAACACUUUGAGAGGCUGAGAUGGGCGGAUUGCUUGAGCCCAGAAGUUCAAAACUAGCCUGGGCAACAUGGCAAAACCCCGUCUCUUCAAAAAAUACAAAAAUCAGGCUGGGCAAGGUGGCUCACACUUGUAAUCCCAACACUUUGGGAGGUGGAGGUGGGCAGAUCACUUGAGGUCAGGAGUUUCAGACCAGCCUGGCCAACAUGGUGAGACCUCGUCUCUAACAAACAAUACAAAAAUUAGCUGGGCAUGGUGGUG